UUGAAACCAGGACGCCAGUUUUGGCGGAGCCAUCCUUGGGAUACCACCCUUGUAGUACUGGGACUCUAACCAUAGGCCAUGAAUCUGGUCUUGGGACACUGUCAGGUGGGCAGUUUGACUGGGGCGGGCGCCUCCCAAAAGGUAACGGAGGCGCUCAAAGGUUCUCUCAGUACGGUCGGAAAUCGUACGUAGAGUGUAAAGGCAAAAGAGAGCUUGAUUGCAAGACAUACAGGUCGAGCAAGGAUGAAAAUCGGACUUAGUGAUCCGGUGGUUC
This 274-nucleotide ribosomal RNA is filed under the name Clostridioides difficile. RNAcentral describes it as "partial 23S ribosomal RNA". It matches the Rfam family "Bacterial large subunit ribosomal RNA", at positions 2157 to 2429 of the family's 2925-position model. The record is from RNAcentral. Lineage: Bacteria; Bacillati; Bacillota; Clostridia; Peptostreptococcales; Peptostreptococcaceae.